GGGAAACUAAAGAAUAUUGGUGCCUUUGAUGACAAGACUCUGAAUAGAAUAUUGAUAACACCUGGAAAUCGGAAGAAAGCUAACAAGAUUCAAUGGGAACCUUUCCUCUGAGGUGAGAAGCAUUCUAAUACCAGGGUCAAGGAGAUAUGAGAAAGCACCUUUAAGUAGAAGGGAGACAGACAGAACUUUUCUCAACAGAGAAUACAGCACCAUUAUGGUCCAAUUUCAGGUCUUAAAAGCUGAGCCCUGCUGCUGUCUCCGAAUUGUUCCUAAGCUAUCU
Hemicordylus capensis (graceful crag lizard) is the source of this 280-nucleotide long non-coding RNA. RefSeq lists it as uncharacterized. Lineage: Eukaryota; Metazoa; Chordata; Lepidosauria; Squamata; Cordylidae. The transcript is spliced from 3 exons. The record is from RefSeq and is a predicted model, not a curated record.